GACGAACGCUGGCGGCGUGCUUAACACAUGCAAGUCGAACGGAAAGGCCCUGCUUUUGUGGGGUGCUCGAGUGGCGAACGGGUGAGUAACACGUGAGUAACCUGCCCUUGACUUUGGGAUAACUUCAGGAAACUGGGGCUAAUACCGGAUAGGAGCUCCUGCUGCAUGGUGGGGGUUGGAAAGUUUCGGCGGUUGGGGAUGGACUCGCGGCUUAUCAGCUUGUUGGUGGGGUAGUGGCUUACCAAGGCUUUGACGGGUAGCCGGCCUGAGAGGGGGACCGGCCACAUUGGGACUGAGAUACGGCCCAGACUCCUACGGGAGGCAGCAGUGGAGAAUAUUGCACAAUGGGCGGAAGCCUGAUGCAGCAACGCCGCGUGCGGGAUGACGGCCUUCGGGUUGUAAACCGCUUUCGCCUGUGACGAAGCGUGAGUGACGGUAAUGGGUAAAGAAGCACCGGCUAACUACGUG
RNAcentral lists this ribosomal RNA (468 nucleotides) under uncultured bacterium. RNAcentral's name for it is "partial 16S ribosomal RNA". It matches the Rfam family "Bacterial small subunit ribosomal RNA", at positions 28 to 507 of the family's 1533-position model. The record is from RNAcentral.